CCUACGGGUGGCAGCAGUGGGGAAUAUUGCACAAUGGGGGAAACCCUGAUGCAGCGACGCCGCGUGAAGGAAGAAGUAUCUCGGUAUGUAAACUUCUAUCAGCAGGGAAGAAAAUGACGGUACCUGACUAAGAAGCACCGGCUAACUACGUGCCAGCAGCCGCGGUAAUACGUAGGGGGCAAGCGUUAUCCGGAUUUACUGGGUGUAAAGGGAGCGUAGGCGGGGCAGCAAGUCAGAAGUGAAACCCCGGGGCUCAACUCCGGGACUGCGUUUGAAACUGUGGACCUAGAGUGCAGGAGAGGUAUGUGGAAUGCCUGGUGUAGCGGUGAAAUGCGUAGAUAUUACGCAGAACACCAGUUGCGAAGGCAGCUUACUGGACUGUAAUUGACGCUGAGGCUCGAAAGCGUGGGGAGCAAACAGGAUUAGAUACCCGGGUAGUC
Molecule: ribosomal RNA, 440 nt
Filed under: uncultured bacterium
Lineage: Bacteria
Description: partial 16S ribosomal RNA
Rfam family: Bacterial small subunit ribosomal RNA
Source: RNAcentral